Molecule: ribosomal RNA, 462 nt
Filed under: uncultured bacterium
Lineage: Bacteria
Description: bacterial SSU rRNA
Rfam family: Bacterial small subunit ribosomal RNA
Source: RNAcentral
AUUGAACGCUGGCGGCAUGCCUUACACAUGCAAGUCGAACGGCAGCACGGGAGCAAUCCUGGUGGCGAGUGGCGAACGGGUGAGUAAUAUAUCGGAACGUGCCCAGUCGUGGGGGAUAACGUAGCGAAAGCUACGCUAAUACCGCAUACGAUCUACGGAUGAAAGCGGGGGAUCGCAAGACCUCGCGCGAUUGGAGCGGCCGAUAUCAGAUUAGCUAGUUGGUGGGGUAAAAGCUCACCAAGGCGACGAUCUGUAGCUGGUCUGAGAGGACGACCAGCCACACUGGAACUGAGACACGGUCCAGACUCCUACGGGAGGCAGCAGUGGGGAAUUUUGGACAAUGGGCGCAAGCCUGAUCCAGCCAUGCCGCGUGAGUGAAGAAGGCCUUCGGGUUGUAAAGCUCUUGCCGGAGAAUCGCAUGGGUUAAUACCCUGUGUGGAUGACGGUACCGGCGAUAAGAAG